GGGGGCAUUCACCUAAUUGCCUCAUUUUCCAUAGAGCAUCUGAAACUUUCUCUAUAGUAAGAAAAGGGGAAAGUUUCUGCCAGUCCCAACUCAACCUUCCUUCCAUGCAGAUCUGGAAGUCCUCCCGCAGAAGCUGUUUCCAGCUGGCUUUGCUUUGGUUUCAAUCUCUGCAGAGGCAUGCCGGCUCCGUACCAUUCACACCUGGGUGAGGCCCCUCGACCAGUCGACAGGGACAUUCAGCCCUUCUAUCAGCAGACAGGUUGGCAGGAAAGAACAUGUGGAGUGGAGAGAAAGUUCCAGGUGUUACGAUGACUGUAGAGCAUAAGUUGGAUGAGACACCCUGCAGAAGCCCUAUCGAAACAGAACUAAGCAAGAGGCAGCAUUGAAGCAGUGGUGUCCGUACGUGCAAUAUUUGAGGAGCAUCGACCGAGUGAGACUGGGAAAGGAGGUUCUUCUACUUGUGCAGUAAACCCUCAAUUUGUUUGCCAUUUCUAAGUAAGGAAAUGAAGUGUCUCUUCUAAAUAAAUUAAAGCACUGAAGGAGUUACCGAUUCA
Molecule: long non-coding RNA, 554 nt
Filed under: Bos indicus x Bos taurus (hybrid cattle)
Lineage: Eukaryota; Metazoa; Chordata; Mammalia; Artiodactyla; Bovidae
Description: lncRNA (ENSBIXG00005015236.1)
Source: RNAcentral